UACAGAGGUCUCGAGCGUUGUUCGGAUUCAUUGGGCGUAAAGGGUGCGUAGGUGGCGCUGUAAGUCGGGUGUGAAAUCCUGAGGCUUAACCUCGGAACUGCAUUCGAUACUGCGGCGCUUGAGGACUGGAGAGGAGACUGGAAUUCAUGGUGUAGCAGUGAAAUGCGUAGAGAUCGUGAGGAAGACCAGUGGCGAAGGCGGGUCUCUGGACAGUUCCUGACACUGAGGCACGAAGGCCAGGGGAGCAAACGGG
This 253-nucleotide ribosomal RNA is filed under the name uncultured bacterium. Its description in RNAcentral is "partial 16S ribosomal RNA". It matches the Rfam family "Bacterial small subunit ribosomal RNA", at positions 524 to 776 of the family's 1533-position model. The record is from RNAcentral.